UCCUGGCUCAGGACGAACGCUGGCGGCGUGCCUAACACAUGCAAGUCGAGCGGGGACAGGGAGGAGCUUGCUCCGAACUGUUCUAGCGGCGGACGGGUGAGUAACACGUGGGCAACCUGCCUCAUAGAGGGGAAUAGCCUUCCGAAAGGGAGAUUAAUACCGCAUAAGAUUGUAGUACCGCAUGGUACAGCAAUUAAAGGAGCAAUCCGCUAUGAGAUGGGCCCGCGGCGCAUUAGCUAGUUGGUGAGGUAACGGCUCACCAAGGCGACGAUGCGUAGCCGACCUGAGAGGGUGAUCGGCCACAUUGGGACUGAGACACGGCCCAGACUCCUACGGGAGGCAGCAGUGGGGAAUAUUGCACAAUAGGGGAAACCCUGAUGCAGCGACGCCGCGUGGAGGAAGAAGGUCUUCGGAUUGUAAACUCCUGUUGUUGAGGAAGAUAAUGACGGUACUCAACAAGGAAGUGACGGCUAACUACGUG
RNAcentral lists this ribosomal RNA (481 nucleotides) under uncultured bacterium. RNAcentral describes it as "bacterial SSU rRNA". It matches the Rfam family "Bacterial small subunit ribosomal RNA", at positions 17 to 507 of the family's 1533-position model. The record is from RNAcentral.